RNAcentral lists this ribosomal RNA (1054 nucleotides) under Curtobacterium sp. PhB130. RNAcentral's name for it is "bacterial LSU rRNA". It matches the Rfam family "Bacterial large subunit ribosomal RNA", at positions 587 to 1598 of the family's 2925-position model. Lineage: Bacteria; Bacillati; Actinomycetota; Actinomycetes; Micrococcales; Microbacteriaceae. The record is from RNAcentral.
GUUGGUGUGACGGCGUGCCUUUUGAAGAAUGAGCCUGCGAGUUAGUGAUAUGUGGCGAGGUUAACCCGUGUGGGGCAGCCGUAGCGAAAGCGAGUCUGAAUAGGGCGAUUCAGUCGCAUGUCCUAGACCCGAAGCGAAGUGAUCUAUCCAUGGCCAGGUUGAAGCGACGGUAAGACGUCGUGGAGGACCGAACCCACUUCAGUUGAAAAUGGAGGGGAUGAGCUGUGGAUAGGGGUGAAAGGCCAAUCAAACUUCGUGAUAGCUGGUUCUCUCCGAAAUGCAUUUAGGUGCAGCGUUGCGUGUUUCUCGCCGGAGGUAGAGCUACUGGAUGGCCGAUGGGCCUCAACAGGUUACUGACGUCAGCCAAACUCCGAAUGCCGGUGAGUGAGAGCGCAGCAGUGAGACGGUGGGGGAUAAGCUUCAUCGUCGAGAGGGAAACAACCCAGACUACCAACUAAGGCCCCUAAGCGUGUGCUAAGUGGGAAAGGAUGUGGAGUUGCAUAGACAACCAGGAGGUUGGCUUAGAAGCAGCCACCCUUGAAAGAGUGCGUAAUAGCUCACUGGUCAAGUGAUUCCGCGCCGACAAUGUAACGGGGCUCAAGCACACCGCCGAAGUUGUAGAUUUCGCACUAUAGACAAGCCUUCGUGGUUCAGUCGUGCGGAGUGGUAGGAGAGCGUCGUGUGGCGAGUGAAGCGGCGGAGUGAUCCAGCCGUGGACGCUACACGAGUGAGAAUGCAGGCAUGAGUAGCGAAAGACGGGUGAGAAACCCGUCCUCCGAAAGACCAAGGGUUCCAGGGCCAGGUUAAUCCGCCCUGGGUAAGUCGGGACCUAAGGCGAGGCCGACAGGCGUAGUCGAUGGACAACGGGUUGAUAUUCCCGUACCGGCGAACAACCGCCCAAGCUAAUCCAGUGGUGCUAAGAGUCCUAACCCGGAUCAACCGGAUCCCUUCGGGGUGAUGGUGGCCGGUCUAACGCUCGACCCCAUGCUGGUGCGGUUAGCGUAUGAACAGGUGUGACGCAGGAAGGUAGCUGAGCCAGGCGAUGGUAUCCGUA